UAGGGAAUCUUCGGCAAUGGACGAAAGCCUGACUGAGCAACGCCGCGUGAGUGAAGAAGGUUUUCGGAUCGUAAAACUCUGUUGUUAGAGAAGAACAAGGACGUUAGUAACUGAACGUCCCCUGACGGUAUCUAACCAGAAAGCCACGGCUAACUACGUGCCAGCAGCGGCGGUAAUACGUAGGUGGCAAGCGUUGUCCGGAUUUAUUGGGCGUAAAGGGAGCGCAGGCGGUUUCUUAAGUCUGAUGUGAAAGCCCCCGGCUCAACCGGGGAGGGUCAUUGGAAACUGGGAGACUUGGGUGCAGAAGAGGGGAGUGGAAUUCCAUGUGUAGCGGUGAAAUGCGUAGAUAUAUGGAGGAACACCAGUGGCGAAGGCGGCUCUCUGGUCUGUACCUGACGCUGAGGCUCGAAAGCGUGGGGAGCAAACAGG
Molecule: ribosomal RNA, 429 nt
Filed under: Gemmatimonadota bacterium
Lineage: Bacteria; Pseudomonadati; Gemmatimonadota
Description: Gemmatimonadetes bacterium partial 16S ribosomal RNA
Rfam family: Bacterial small subunit ribosomal RNA
Source: RNAcentral